UAAUCAGAGUUCGUUUGAGUCGGUUCCCCGCUGUUCCCCACUUUUAUAGUGUUCCCCAAUAAACCUCACACUAUAUAUAUAUAUAUAUAUAUAUAUAUAUAUAUAUAUAUAUAUAUAUAUGGGAAGGUUCAUUGGGGAACACUAAAAAAGUGGGGAACAACGGGGAACCGACUCAAACGAACUCUGAUUGGACUCAUUCCAGCG
RNAcentral lists this long non-coding RNA (204 nucleotides) under Helianthus annuus (common sunflower). RNAcentral describes it as "Cyanobacterial functional RNA 17". It matches the Rfam family "Cyanobacterial functional RNA 17", at positions 1 to 196 of the family's 264-position model. Lineage: Eukaryota; Viridiplantae; Streptophyta; Magnoliopsida; Asterales; Asteraceae. The record is from RNAcentral.